GAUGUUGCUGUCUGAUUCUCUUGC
RNAcentral lists this non-coding RNA (24 nucleotides) under Arabidopsis thaliana (thale cress). The record is from RNAcentral. Lineage: Eukaryota; Viridiplantae; Streptophyta; Magnoliopsida; Brassicales; Brassicaceae.